Long non-coding RNA from Marmota monax (woodchuck), 563 nucleotides. RefSeq lists it as uncharacterized. NCBI's taxonomy places the organism in Eukaryota, Metazoa, Chordata, Mammalia, Rodentia, Sciuridae. The transcript has 2 exons. The record is from RefSeq and is a predicted model, not a curated record.
GACUGGAGUGUUAAUUAGGAGCAGGGAAAUAAUUGCCUAUUAGAGCAGCAGGUGACACCAACUCCCUGCCACCACCUCCCUCCUCUUGCCCUUCCACCUAUUGCUCCCUCCCUGCCUGUGCCCCGCCCACUGACCCCCAGCUUCCUGCUCCAGGUCUUGGCCUCCAGCACCCUGGGGGGCUGCGGGUGCACCGCCUACAGGAGCCCUGAGAGCGUUCCCAGGCUUCGCGCCCUUCCCUGGCUGGACGCAUUGUCAGGACCCUAAUUGAGGCCAGCUGCUGGCUGGAGAGGCCCAGGCUGCAGCCCCGGGGGCUGCCGGAGGAAUAAUUAGGAAGCCAAGCAUGGUGCACACGCCUGUAAUCCCAGCAGCUUGGGAGGCUGAGGCAGAAGGAUCACAAGUUCAAGGCCAGCCUCAGCAACUUAGUGAGGUCCGAAGCAACUGAGCAAGACCCUGUCUCCAAAUAAAAGAUAAAAAGGGCUGGAGAUGUGGCUCAGUGGCUCGGCACUCCUGGGUUCAAUCUCUGGUGCCAAGAAAAGCAAAUAAAAAGAAAUAACUUACAGGAA